UUGAGAAAAUCUGUAUGAAUCAAACUUGGCGCUGGGUGGAGGGUGGGAAUCUGCUCUGAGGAUCCGAGCUGCAGGCUGGUGCUCACCACGUUUGGGGCAGCAGCACACACGGUGUGGCCCGAGAGUCCGCGAGCAGAGCGGUCAUGUUUAGUGGUCUCAGACAGGGUGCUCCAGGUGCCUGGCACGCCAGACGUAAACUCUCUCUGAAGGAAGUCAACGCCGACCCAGGCCAGUAAGGAGUGUAAGGUACCACUGAGUCCAGAGGAGCUCGAAUAUGAACAAAUGUGCAUGUGUGUGUGUGGUAUGCACACAGAGAGAAAAUACCUUUUGGGGGUACAAGGGACCUACAGAAUCACGUGGGGGACUCACCAUCAGUACCUCUGAAGACAGGUGGCUCCCCACAGAGUGCGCAGGUAAGGGACUUACUCCGGCUUCAUGAAAGGGGUUGGCCGCAGAGGGAAGCUUCCAGACUCCCACGGGGCCCCUCCUGAUGACACUCAGUGCUGCACUGCCCAGUGCUGCCGACAGCCGCGGCCUGUGGGGCCACUGGGGUCUCUUCUGGCCGAGGGCGCUGACGGCCUGGGCUGACCCCCCACGCAGCCCCCCUGGCAUCUCCCAUUUGCAGAGGGCAGAGACCCACUCGUUUCUUGGGUUCCUGGAACCAGUCCUUGAAUUCCUUGAGCCUUUUCCCGCAGGAAGCUUUUCUGUGGGGGGGUCACUGCAGCCCCACCGGGGUACCCCACUUUCCUGUUUGCCUGGGCCUUCUCCCACACCACCUGUACUAGUCCUUUUCUCCAGGGGACUUCAGAGUGGCGGCAGCUGAACCAGACCCUCUUCCCCUGACCUCUCAAAAGCUGGGCCCUCAGCAGAGGUGAGGAGUUCCCGCCCUCCAUACUUGGGACGGGGUGGGGGGGGAGCGGAGGGAGUUGUUGCAAAUGUGGAAUUUCAGGCCCCAUCCCAGACCUGCUGAAUCAGAAUCUGCAUUUUAACAAGAUUGACACCCCCAUUCCCCAACCAGGAGACCCCUACCCGUGCACCUUAGAGUCUGAGAAGCCCGUGUUGAACUGACUUGAAGGUGCCCUGCAGAAAACUACCCACGGAGCCUGGUGGUCUGCAGUCCGGGCUGCUCCCCACUCCUGUGUCCCCCCACCCAGGCCUCUUCCCUGCAGGUGCCCCUCCCCGGGCCCGGGGGCUCUAGGUGGGAGCACCGUGCCAGCCUCACGCCAGCCCUGCAAACCUGCUCUGGGCGCCAAGUUCUGGAGCCCGAGAGGGGCUCCUUCAAAUGAAGCCCUGCUGUCUCCUGCCAGCUGUGACACAGACUCCUUGGUCUCCCCUUUGGACUGGGGUUAGGCAUCCUCGUGAGACCCUGCACCCUGGGACACUGCUGUUCUCUUGCCUGCCAAGCCCAUGAUCAAAACAAAGCUGUGCACGCAGCUACCUGUGAGCUCCAGCUCCUGACUUCACACCUGGUAUCAGGUAGGACCCCCAACUGGAGGGAGUGUUCCGAGCUGGUCAAAGCCUGAACCUGCAGCAUGUCCUGUGGUGGCUGUCACCAUCCAUCCAGCUGUGCCCUGCUGGACCAAGGAUCAGUGGCACUCCUACUUGCCCUGGGCCUUCCAAAGAGCUGGAGAUACAGCAGCAACCAGGACAGACCUGCUCCCUGCCCUCAUGGAGGUGACACAGCAGAAAAGGCCACUGACAGAGCAAGCAGAAGCUGAACAGAAUAACGUCCCUCGGGGAAGGCUUCUCAGAGGAGGAGCUGUUCAAAGGCGUCACAGAGAAUGCAAAGCAGCACCGGGAGGUGACAAUUUUAGGCAGAGGAGAAGCAGGUGCAGAGCCCUGAGGCGGGAACCUCCUCUGUCCUUCGGGAUCCUCAGUUCAGGUCUGCACCCAGAAAGGGGGCGGGCCCAGGAUGCCCCUGUCCUGAUGUGUCACCCUGGCGUUGCCGGCUGAGGGAGUAAGUUCCAGGUACUAACAAAAAGAGGCCUUGCGAGGCCUGUCCACGCAGCCCCAUCUCCAGCUACUGCUCGUUGCAAAGUGAAUGAGCUUGUGUUUGGGGCAUACAGACCUUUGUGGUUACAAGUGACAAAAACCUGAGUUAACGUGACAGGGAAGGAAUUUAUUACCUGAAAAGUCCAGGAGUAGACUAGUUUCAAGCCAAAUUGGCUCCAAGGACUCACACUUUGUCCUGUAGUCUCUCUCACUUUCACUUUCUGUGUCUCUCAGUUCUGCUUUUCCUUCACUCCCCUCGUGGUGACAAGACGGCCAUAGCAGCUCCAGCAACCCCAGCAGGCUCCCGCAGCCAGCGUUCUUGGGAGCCCCCCCAUCUGUAGGACAUGUGGGAAACACCCACACGGCAUUUCCUGAGGCUCCAGGGAGGGAAGCCCCCGCCCCCACUGUGCAGCAACAGGGCUGGCUUGUCCAUCGGGGGGACCUUGAACAGAAAGGCUGUACCAACUGACUCCUCCACCAGCGAAGUGUGAGAGAUGCCCAUUUCCUUGAACCUUUUGCAACACUGGCUGUUAGCAUUUUAAACUCUUUUUCAUAGUUUAACCUUUUUCCCUUUGCACGGGCGCUUCUGAGAGUUCAGACCCAGAGGAUCUACUCGCGCAGUUUAAAAAGCGGCCAGCAGAUGGCGCUGCCGCCCGGCGGCUCCGACAGCCUCGCGGCGCUGGAGAGAAGGGACAACCGGGACCGAGCGCUUGUCUGGGGGUGGGGGCGCGGGCGGGGGGACACGACUUUGGAAAGCCCUUCGGAGGGGCUGGAGAUAAUGCUAGAAAGAGCUUUUCUGGGAAAGUGAUGAUGCUUCGCUGCCUCUGUUGUAACCACUCCCCUCUGCAAGUGUUGGGGGGCCCGGGUGACCCCCAAUUGGGGUUCAGGACCUCGUCCGCUCCCUCUCUGCCCCUCUACCCCUUCCCGCAGCCCACAGGCCCCAGGGGCCAAGGAGGCCGCAGUCCUCCACCCGGUCCUCCACCUGGUCCUCCACCUCGUCCUCCACUCCGUCCUCCACCCCGUCCUCCACCCCGUCCUCCACCUCCUACAGCAGAACCCGACUCUUAAAACAGGGCGCGCGGGAGCAGCAGCCUCUUCAACUCGGGUCUCCGGGGCCUGCGGGCAAACGCGGUUAAAUGAAUGAAUACAUAGAAGGGAAGAGACGAGGAAGGAGGCGUCCCGUAGCCCAGUCAAGUUGACGUAUGAAAUUAACCAUCUCACAACUCCUAGAAGAAAAAAAAAAGCAGAAAAGGUUACAAUAAAAGUCAAGAUAGUGGCUAUUACUGCUGGGAGAGUGAGGAGAUUUUGACAGGGAGGGGACGGUUAGAAGUCUCAGGGAUUCAGGGGGUGUUCUAGUUCUUAGUCUUGGGUGAUGGUUACCAGGGUAUUUCCUUGGUCAUAACUUGCUAAGCUGUACACUAUAUUUUAUGUACUUUUUUCUGUGUGCUAUAUUUCACAAUAAAAAUAUUCUAAUAAAAGAAUGAAUGGA
This is a long non-coding RNA of Lemur catta (Ring-tailed lemur), 3481 nucleotides long. RefSeq lists it as uncharacterized. The transcript is spliced from 4 exons. The record is from RefSeq and is a predicted model, not a curated record. NCBI's taxonomy places the organism in Eukaryota, Metazoa, Chordata, Mammalia, Primates, Lemuridae.